GACGAACGCUGGCGGCGUGCCUAACACAUGCAAGUCGAACGGAGUUAAGGAAGCUUGCUUUUUAACUUAGUGGCGAACGGGUGAGUAACGCGUGAGAAACCUGCCUUUCAGUGGGGGACAACAGUUGGAAACGACUGCUAAUACCGCAUAAUGUAUUCGGACGGCAUCGUCUGGAUACCAAAGCUUUAUGUGCUGAAAGAUGGCUUCGCGUAAGAUUAGGUAGUAGGCGGGGUAACGGCCCACCUAGCCGACGAUCUUUAGGGGUUCUGAGAGGAAGGUCCCCCACACUGGUACUGAGACACGGACCAGACUCCUACGGGAGGCAGCAGUGAGGAAUAUUGGUCAAUGGGCGGAAGCCUGAACCAGCCAAGUAGCGUGAAGGAUUACAGCCCUACGGGUUUUAAACUUCUUUUAUAUAAGAGUAAUGUGCACUACGUGUAGUGUAUUGCAAGUAUUAUAUGAAUAAGCAUCGGCUAACUCCGUG
This 484-nucleotide ribosomal RNA is filed under the name uncultured bacterium. RNAcentral's name for it is "bacterial SSU rRNA". It matches the Rfam family "Bacterial small subunit ribosomal RNA", at positions 28 to 507 of the family's 1533-position model. The record is from RNAcentral.